RNAcentral lists this long non-coding RNA (374 nucleotides) under Androctonus crassicauda. Lineage: Eukaryota; Metazoa; Arthropoda; Arachnida; Scorpiones; Buthidae. The record is from RNAcentral.
AGACUUUAGACGAGGAUAAGAAAGUGAAAACAUUAGCGAAAGUUAGGUAUUUCAUUGAGACAAAAAAGCCAAAAAUCCGUGUGAACUAUGUUAAAAAAUUGAGGUGGCUUUCUACAAUCAACUGGAAGGGUACAGGAGAGAGAAGGAGAGAAUGGACAACAGCCCGUUUGUAAUGGAUGGUCUGGUUUUGCCUGACUUUGUGAAGAAAGCAACCUCAGAAGGCCCAAGCUACAGUUUCCGUAGAAAUUGCGACUGGGUUAAGUCAGUUGCACAGGUUGAAAAGAUCCUGCGUAGCAGCAAGAAAGAAAAAGCGGAUAGGAUAAGAUGGAAAAUGGCGGAAGAAGUUAGGAAAUGUAGCCUAAACAAAGGGCGGA